RNAcentral lists this ribosomal RNA (250 nucleotides) under uncultured Phenylobacterium sp. RNAcentral describes it as "partial 16S ribosomal RNA". It matches the Rfam family "Bacterial small subunit ribosomal RNA", at positions 524 to 773 of the family's 1533-position model. The record is from RNAcentral. Lineage: Bacteria; Pseudomonadati; Pseudomonadota; Alphaproteobacteria; Caulobacterales; Caulobacteraceae.
UACGAAGGGGGCUAGCGUUGCUCGGAAUUACUGGGCGUAAAGGGCGCGUAGGCGGAUAUCUAAGUCGGGGGUGAAAGCCCGGGGCUCAACCUCGGAAUUGCCUUCGAUACUGGCUAUCUUGAGUACGGGAGAGGUGUGUGGAACUCCGAGUGUAGAGGUGAAAUUCGUAGAUAUUCGGAAGAACACCAGUGGCGAAGGCGACACACUGGCCCGUUACUGACGCUGAGGCGCGAAAGCGUGGGGAGCAAAC